This is an RNA transcript of Schistocerca americana (American grasshopper), 1515 nucleotides long. It is a transcript of the gene named nitric oxide synthase-interacting protein homolog, with no coding region annotated. NCBI's taxonomy places the organism in Eukaryota, Metazoa, Arthropoda, Insecta, Orthoptera, Acrididae. The record is from RefSeq and is a predicted model, not a curated record. The transcript has 9 exons.
GUCAGCCAAUUUAUUGAUUGUGUUUAACUUUAGAAUGUGAGUUUUGUCACAAAACUUUUGUGCAUUGAAAGGAAUAGCGAAGAGUUUUCAGUGAAAAAACUGAAAUAAUAAAAACUAGUUAGGGUGAUUGUGUUGUAUGUGUGGCCUUUAUAGAUACAUAUAAUGUGACAUACUCAUGUGUGGUCGCAGAAGUUGAAAUUUAUAUAGUACACCUUUACAACAAAAACAAGCAAGAGGUUAAGUGAUAAGAGAUGACACGCCAUGCAAGAAACUGCACUGCGGGAGCAGUCUACACGUAUCAUGAAAAGAAGAAAGAUGCUCAGGCAUCAGGUUAUGGAACAAACACUCAGAGGGUGGGAAAGGAUUCUAUCAAAGAUUUUGAUUGCUGUUCCCUGACAUUGCAGCCUUGCAGAGACCCUGUUAUUACGCCAGAUGGGUAUUUGUUCGAUAAGGAAGCAAUUUUGGAAUACAUAAUAACAAAGAAAAAUGAAUACAGCAGGAAACUGAAAGAAUAUGAAAAGCAGAAGAAAAAAGAAGAGAUUGAAUUAGCAGAAAUUGCAGCAGCAGAGAAAGAUUCGAAACUUAAUAGUUUCAUAAAAACUGAGAAGAAUAUAGUCAGCACACCAGUGACUGCAUUCAAAUCUGAUACAAAAAACAAUGACAAGCCGUCAGUGUCCAACAUGACAGAAGGACGUGACAAACACCUACCAAGUUUUUGGAUACCUUCAAAGACUCCAGAAGCCAAAGAAACCACAUUAAAGAAGCCCGAUAAAACUAUUUACUGCCCUAUAAGUGGCAAGCCACUGAGGGUCAAGGACCUCAUUAACGUAAAAUUUAAAGAAGUGAAUGAUCCUGAUGACAAGAAACCACUUGUUGUCAAAAAAAGUCGAUAUAUGUGUGCUGUUACUCAUGAUGUCCUGAGUAAUUCUGUCCCUUGUGCUGUUAUUAGAACAACGGGAGAUGUGGUAACAAUGGAAUGUGUUGAGAAGAUCAUUAAGAAAGACUGGCUUCACCCACUGACCAAUGAAAAACUCACAGAAAAGGAUAUUAUUCCAAUGCAACGGGGUGGAACAGGAUAUUCUAUUACUAAUGAUAAACUGCAAGGGAAGCACGAACGACCAGUCUUACAGGCAUAAGGAAAGCUUGAUUUUGUACAUAUUUUCUAUUUUGGUGAAGAAGCCCAAUGGUGAUUCUUUAAACCAUGUUUAAAAUAGACAUGUUCAAAGUUUUUUUUUUUUUUUUUUUCUUUUUGAAGCAGUGGUUUUCUAAAUGUUACAGGACAUCAGAAGGCAGAUCCAGCACACCGCCAUUCUGUUGUUGAACGUCCCAUGAGCGAUGCAAGUAAUAAUUUUUGUAUGUUAAUUAGUUGAUAGCAACUAGUGUUUUGAAAAAUAAAUUUGUGGUAAAGCCAUUAGUUUUACCAAACGAAAAAUUUAGAGUAGAUUGAACUGAAAUAUAUUAGCCUUUAUACAAAAUAAUUGUAUGUGUAUGUAAUAAAAAUGGUUGUUAAAAUUA